RNAcentral lists this ribosomal RNA (253 nucleotides) under uncultured bacterium. RNAcentral's name for it is "partial 16S ribosomal RNA". It matches the Rfam family "Bacterial small subunit ribosomal RNA", at positions 524 to 776 of the family's 1533-position model. The record is from RNAcentral.
UACGUAGGGCGCAAGCGUUGUCCGGAAUUACUGGGCGUAAAGGGCUCGUAGGUGGCCAACUAAGUCAGACGUGAAAUCCCUCGGCUUAACCGGGGAACUGCGUCUGAUACUGGAUGGCUUGAGUUUGGGAGAGGGAUGCGGAAUUCCUGGUGUAGCGGUGAAAUGCGCAGAUAUCAGGAGGAACACCGGUGGCGAAGGCGGAUCUCUGGGCCGAUACUGACGCUGAGGAGCGAAAGCGUGGGGAGCGAACAGG